Molecule: long non-coding RNA, 3680 nt
Filed under: Homo sapiens (human)
Lineage: Eukaryota; Metazoa; Chordata; Mammalia; Primates; Hominidae
Description: HSALNT0088957
Source: RNAcentral
GCCUACUCAAUGUGAAGAUGAGGAUGAAGAUUUUGUGAUGACCCACCUUUUUUAAAUAAAUGUGACCUUUUAUUUCAGAAACUACCUGGACCUUACUAAAGAGACUGCCUCCAAAGAAUCUAGGCCACAUUUUUGGGGUUUGGAGGAUGCUUCGUCCCUCAAGUAGAGAAGAAGUGAUCCCAGAAGUGUUUCUUCCACCUAAGACAACACUGGAGGAUUUAUUGAGAUAUUGCUGGCAGACCUCCCUGUUCACAGAUCUUGGUUUUGCUGUGUUCACAAAUCCCUAAGAAGUUUACCUUGGAAUAUGAGGGGAGCCCCCAGAGACCACUGCUUUUAUUUUUGGCUUAGCCCGAGCCUCUCAAAUACAGAAGCACCUUUCUGUCAGAUCGUCAGGUCACCUCUGCAUGGACCAGCCUUCAUUCCUGAACGGGCCUUUAGACAUCUGACUCACAGCAGAAAAAGAUCACUUUGACUUUCUAUUUACAUUUCAUUUGGCAGAAAGCAGCAAACUACACUUUGAAGAGAAGAAGUGGAAUUCCAGAAAUAUUCAGUGGCAAGCUCAAGUUCACAGUGUCAGAGCAAAACAAAGACUAGAACUCCUGGUGCAGACUGAAUGCCCACAGCAGUCUCCUGCAGUCAGCUGUGCUGUCCCAUGGUAAAAGUUACAUGACAUUUCUCCUUUUGUGGUCACAUUGACCCACAUGCAUUUGAAUAUGUUUGCACAUUGCUUAAAGUGAUCUUACAUUUCCAUCAUGAGUGUAUCUUCCACUUCCCGAAAUUGAUUGUAAUGUUCUCAGGGAUGGGAGCUGAAGCCUCUAUUUUCUUUGUGCCCUAUCUCCAACACCCAGUGGAGUUUCAGUAAGUGUUAUUCACAGGUUGACUGACUGACUGAACAUGGAAGCUAAGAUAGAGAGGCUUGGGAAAAGUUUGGGGUUUAGCCACAGAGGGCAAAGGUACGGUUUCUAAUCUAUCAGACAACCUUUUUCUGCUGUGUAAUUUGGAGACGGGGUUUUGAUAAACAGCUGUAGGGCUCCAUCAGUCUCCUAAAGCUUUAGAAAAAUUUCCUGCAUUGUGAGUGCUUAGAACAUAGAUUGUUACUGUGUUUUGUAUAUUUUAGAAAAAAAUGAGGAUAAGUACUCAUAAUUUCUCACCCACAGUGGAGAAAAUAGAUACAUGAGAGCUGAGUUGGUGAAUUAAUGUAACAAUUAAUGGUGACUGUGUCUCAGCUAGGAUCAAGUUGACCUCACUGAGGUUUAAAUGGCCACUUAGAUUGUUGCUGUUUUUUUCUGGGUUUUCAAACUUCCACAAAGGAAGGGAGAAUAGGGAGGAGUGGCUUUGUGCAUGUGCUUUGGAAUCAGUCUAUUUUUUCAAUUUCAGUUUCACCAUUUACUAGUCGUAUAACCUUGAACAAGUUACAUAACCUGGCUAAGGCUCAGUUUCUCCAUCUGCAAACUGCAGAUAAUAUUUCCUCAAUAGGAUUUACAUAAAGAUUAAGCAAGAAGUUGUAUAUGAAGUGAGAAGUGCUCAUCAGUGGUUGUGAAUAUUAUGGUGUAUUCCUAGCAGUCCAGGAUGAAAGCAAACUUUUAGAUUACUGUUCUGCUAUUACUGUUUUUUAGUUUACAAAUGAGAGAACCUGAGGUGGCAAAAUAAUGAACUGCCAUCUUACUUGUGUCAGUUGACAUUUUAGUUUGUUACCGAUGUGUACUUUAUGUAUUUAGCAAUGUUGCUGCUGGUUGUAGUAUUUGAGGUAGCCGUGAGGAUGUGCCUCUCAGAUCUCUCACUGCAGGAGCAGAAUUGACUGAAGGUCUCAGCUGCUGAGCCUGGAAAUCCAUACUGGAAUUGGUGCUGAAGCCAUACUUGCCAUAGGCUGCUGCCAACCAAUGACUGAGCCCAGCAGGGAUCCCGAGGAUGGCUCAUUCCAGCGGGGGAGGACUCCUCUGGUGGACAGCUUGAGCUGAGUAAUUCCCUAGCUGUGUUGCUGAACUUCCUUGACCCUGCACUGCCAUUUAAGAUUCUCCCACCCAACUUGCCUUCUUCCUUCUGUCCUUCACAAGGGUCAGACCUACAUAAAGAUAUGAUAACUCUCAUAGCCUCUCCUGGCUCCCUUCCCAUGUUCCCUCACAGGGGUUUGCCUUAAUAAAAUACUUGCAUAUUUAACCCUCUCAUGAUACCUGCUUCUCAGAGGACCCAGACUAACAUACUGUGACCAGGCAGAGAGCAGGGCUGAAGCAAGUAACCUUCCUUUUUCAAUAGGCAGUGCACCUUUGAUAGCUAAUGGUGAUGAUCAAAGAAUCUCAGAACCAUAAAGACACCCACAGAGAUAUGGUUUACUCAUCCUGGUGAUCUUCAGAUGGUAAACACUUAAAGAGUGCACAACACAUGUCUACUGCCUUGUUAACACAUCUCAGAUUUGUCUCAUGUUCUUAAGUGGAUGAAACUUCUGGUGCUGAUAAUCAAGUCGUCAGCUGGUGAAUGCCGAGCUGAAGUUAGAAAACAGUUCUGUUAAAAGCAAUUUCUUUGCUGACUGGCCAGAGUGAAGAGUACUUAAGAACUGUUUUUCUUAUUACCAUAACAAUCAUCAUUGAAAGAAUUUUUAAACCUUGGAUGAAGGAGUAGAAGGCAGAAGAAAGAAGUGACAUUUGCAUGGAUUAGAUAACUUACCAGUUCAUUUAAAGAGGCCUAUGAGGAAGAUGUUAUUAUUUCCUUUCUGUGUGCAAGGAAAUUGAGACUCAGAAUGGUAACUUGCUCUAGGUCACUGUCUUAGUCUAUUUUCCAGAUGUUGUAAUAAGAUAUCAUAAGGUGAGUAGCUUAUAAACAACAUAAAUUUAUUUCUCAUACUUCUUAAGGCGGGACAAUUCAAGAUCAAGGUGCCAGCAGAUUUCGUGUCUGGUGAGGGCACACUUUCUGGUUCAUAGUGUCUUCUCACUGUGUCCUCACAUGGUAAAAUGGGUGGCGGGGGUGGGGAGGGUUUCUCUAAGGCCUCUUAUAUAAGGACACUAAGCCCAUUCAUGAGGGCUCUGCCCCUAUGACCUAAUCACCUCACAAAGGCCCCACCUCCUAAUACCAUCACCUUGGGAAUGAAGACUUCAACAUAUGAAUUUGGGGGCGGGGGGUGCAUAAACAAUCAGACAAUAGCAGUCAUAUAACAAAGAAAGAAAGAAAGAAAGAAAGAAAGAAAGAAAGAAAGAAAGAAAGAAAGAAAGAAAGAGAGAGAGAAAAAAGUCCCUGAGCACACGUUUUUCAGAUUCAAUAAUUCAGACAGAUGCUUCUGUGUUUAUGGAGCUGGCUAUUGGUUGUUUUCUAGUAUGGACCUAAGAAACUGGACCAGAGAUCUCUAACCCAUACAUUGAUUUUCUUCCUCAAAUAGAGAAUGUGCCUGCUCAUGGCAUGAUAAGCUGAGCAUUACAGUGAUAGUAGGUAAAGAGAGUUGGAGAACGUCUGGAAGAAAUGGUGAGGCAUACUGGGUUCCCUAAGGGGAAAUUAUUUGCUUGCUAUUCAUUUCCACAGGGAUUUAUGAUUAGAGAGUGUUUGAAUAUAUUACUCUCUAGAUGGUCAGCUUCCAUAUGUGGCUAUGCCUGGGUAGCAUUUACUCUCUAUUAUUCAGACAAUUUAGGUCAACCCAUACUUUUUCCUCACUUAUUUUAAUAUUUGACAAGGCAGGUGGUGGCAGAUAUCAAACA